AGAGUUUGAUCCUGGCUCAGGACGAACGCUGGCGGCGUGCUUAACACAUGCAAGUCGAGCGAGGCCCUUCCUUCGGGAAGGAGCCCUAGCGGCGAACGGGUGAGUAACACGUGGGCAACCUGCCCCUAGCACUGGGAUAACUCCGGGAAACCGGGACUAAUACCGGAUAUGACCUUCGAGGGCAUCCUUGAAGGUGUAAA
This 200-nucleotide ribosomal RNA is filed under the name uncultured bacterium. Its description in RNAcentral is "partial 16S ribosomal RNA". It matches the Rfam family "Bacterial small subunit ribosomal RNA", at positions 8 to 206 of the family's 1533-position model. The record is from RNAcentral.